CAAAGAGGUUUACCCUAAUCCAACAUCGAGGUCACACUUACCGCCUUCGAUACGACCUCUGAGGCGGUCUUGUGCUGUUAUCCCUGCGGUAGCUUUUUCCUUUUUCAUUAUCCUGAACAUAAUGGAUCUUUGCUUUAAAAACGGAGGCUAUCUCCAUUGCUGCCCCAGCCAAACUCCUAAUCACGUUUACUAAACGUUCAAAUCCCUCAAGCUCGACAGGGCCUUCUCGUCUUUUACUCUCAUCUAAGCCUUUUCACUUAAAAGUAAAUUUCAUUUAAUCUUUCUGAGACAGCUUUUCCGACGUCAACCCUUUC
RNAcentral lists this ribosomal RNA (314 nucleotides) under Tridacna maxima. Its description in RNAcentral is "partial 16S ribosomal RNA". The record is from RNAcentral. Lineage: Eukaryota; Metazoa; Mollusca; Bivalvia; Cardiida; Cardiidae.